UAAACUGAGAACUAAAAGGAAAUUCUCAAUCUCUCCUUGUUGUAUAGCUGAGCUUUUCAAACAGUUUUAACAGUUACUUUAGUCUGACAAAAGCCGAAUGACGAAUUAGCGCUUCCAGUCAGAGACUGAGGCUACACUUGCUUUCGGCACAAUUUACAGUGCACGCUACUCUGUUUUUUGUCAGACUUGAAAUAGCCGAAAUACCUUCACACUACGGAACUUCUAUGGCUCUUCCGUUCGACAAUCUCUCCGGCAUUGGAACCAUCAUCUGUUUUCUCUUUGGUCACGCUCGGUUGAUUUUUCUAGUCGGCACACUCAUUUCCUCCAUUACGCGCUGGCUGCUUCCCAAACAAACACACGUGCGGCUUGGCACUUGUGCUGUACGUAACAAGUCACGUGACGUGACGCUGCGGCUGUGAUUGGUUCGGCUCUGCGCUACUUAAUUUGGAUUGGCUGACCUGUUUUUUUUUUUUUUUUUUUUUUUUAAGAGGACAAGAGCGGCGAAGUCUAUCGCGAUAGUUUAAUUUCUCUAUCGAGUAAAAGUUAUAUCGCGAUACAUAUCGUUAUCGUUCUAUCGCCCAGCUCUAGCUCCUGCAGAUGUUUCAUAAUAGAAGCAUUAUUAAGAAAUGAAAUGUUUUCUGUCUAGGGAAGUGAUAGAGGGCUUUUAAUGAGUCUACAGUUUAUAGUGCAGGAACUUUAACAAAAAGUAAUACAAUAGUACAAGUAGUGCUUUUAGAAAUGAAGUCUCUCACUCUGAAUGUCCCUGUUGGACAUUCAGAGUGAGAGACCCCCGUCUGUAUCACCGUGUCAUCUAUUUGGACUAAGACUCCUAUUAAAGCACAUGUCAGUGAAAGGAGCUCCUUUCAUGCACUACAGUCUGACCCAGGUGAGUAUCUGUGACAUAGCUACAGAAUAAAUAUUUACAUACAAUUUCCUAGAAAUAAUUCAUUAAUCAUUUGGACUAGAAGUACUUUGAUGAAACUCCCCUAACCUGUCACAUUGGUUUGCCCCAAACCGUUGGCUGUCAGGCAGGUGAUUGAGUACCAGCACUCACUGGUACUCAAUCACCAAUUCUGCCAAAAACUGAUUGCGGCUUCUACCUUGUUACACGAAUGUUGUUUGUGGCUCAAGAUGACUUUAUGUCAUCCAUAAGGGAUGCAUUUGACAUAUGUUUCACAUAUUAUAGGACAAAACUUACUUAUAGCAGUUUAAAUACGAACAAUCAGUUUUUGGCAGACAAUCACUUUUUGGCACAACACCUGUUGUGCGAUCUAACAUUACAACCGACCGCACAGCAAGUACAAACCAUGGCUGAUGUGGGUGCUUUCACUUGAGCUUAGUUUGGCCCAGGAAGAUGGCGCCUCAACCAGAAAUCCUGGCCACGCCCCCUCUCGUGACAUCAUGCUCAUCUACCAGUUGGAAGGUUGGUGAACUGAUCUGUGGCUCCUCCAGUCUGCACGUCAAAGUAUCCUUAGAUACUGAAUAAAUGAAUAAUAAAUUAACUGAAUAAUAAAUAAGUCUCAGUGUGUGUUUGGGUGAACUUGUAGGAGGAAGUGUUUUGAGUGCUCAACUUUAGCAGACAGGUGCUAUAUAAUUACCAGUCCAUUCCAUCCAUCCACCCAUCCAGGGCCGCGGGGGCAGCAGCCUAAAUCUAAGCAGAUAAGCCCAGACCUCCCUGUCCCCAGCCACCUCGGCCAACUUGUCUGGGGGAACACAAAGGUGUUCCCAGGCCCAUGUCCUGGGUCUGCCCCGGGGCCUCCUCCAGUGGUGGGACAUGCCCAGACUCACCCAGGAUGCAUCCUUGUCAGAUGCCCAAACCACUUCAACUGGUUCCUUUCGAUGUGGAGGGGCAGCGGCUCUACUCUGAGCCCCUCUCAGAUGGCUGAUCUUAUCCUAUCUCUAAGCGAGAGGCCAGCCACUCGGAGGAGGAAGCCCAUUUCUGCUGCUUGUAUCCGCGAUCUCAUUCUUUCAGUCACUACCCACAGCUCAUGACCACAGGUGAGGGUAGGGACGUAGACUGACCGGUAAAUUGAGAGCUUCGCUUAGACCAUUUCUGAAAUAGUGUGUAGCCAGCAUCUACAGAACUUUGGAAGGCCCUGAAAGAAACCCAGAGGAUUAUUCCUAAAUAAAGGUGGCCAUACCGAGAUGGUCUUUUUAGGAUUGUUGUUGCCUUAGAAACUGCAUUUCCAUGUAGGUUUGCACACUCGAAUAAAUCACUGAAAUGAGGGGUAACUCAAAACUUUUGCAAAGUGUUGUACUAUGAUGAGAUUCUAAAAAAAAUAAAACAUCUCAUUCGCUUAAUAAAGUGAUGGUAAUAUAGCUUUAGGUUUGUAGUUUUGUUUUAAAGGCAAAAAAUGCUAAAUUGAAACAUAGCAAUUGUUUAAAGCCUAACUUGUGUCUUCUCAGCCAUCACGGCAGACGGACGUCCCUCCCUGAGCCUGGUUCUGACAAACGUUUCUUCCUGUUAAAUGUGAGUUUUUCUUUCCCUCUGUCGCCAUGUGCUUACUCAUAGGAAGUCAUCCAAUUGUUGGGAAAUAUCUCUGUAUUAUUGUAGGGUCUUUACCUUACAAUAUAAAGCACAUUGAGGCAACUGUUGUUGUGAUUUGGUGCUAUACAAAUGUUAUAUAAAGAAAAGCUUGAAUUGAA
Molecule: long non-coding RNA, 2646 nt
Organism: Astatotilapia calliptera (eastern happy)
Lineage: Eukaryota; Metazoa; Chordata; Actinopteri; Cichliformes; Cichlidae
Source: Ensembl